GUCGGAGUGCUUAUUUUCCAUGUGAAGGCUACAUGGAAAAGGCUGAGACCGUUAAUUCGGGAUCCGCGGAACCUGAUCAGGCUAAUACCUGCGAAGGGAACAAGAGUAAA
RNAcentral lists this non-coding RNA (110 nucleotides) under Klebsiella quasipneumoniae. Lineage: Bacteria; Pseudomonadati; Pseudomonadota; Gammaproteobacteria; Enterobacterales; Enterobacteriaceae. The record is from RNAcentral.